This 369-nucleotide ribosomal RNA is filed under the name Thraustochytriidae sp. RNAcentral describes it as "Thraustochytriaceae sp. partial small subunit ribosomal RNA". It matches the Rfam family "Eukaryotic small subunit ribosomal RNA", at positions 582 to 975 of the family's 1831-position model. The record is from RNAcentral. Lineage: Eukaryota; Bigyra; Thraustochytrida; Thraustochytriidae.
AUUCCAGCUCCAAUAGCGUAUAUUAAUGUUGUUGCAGUUGAAAAGCUCGUAGUUGAAUUUCUGGUAGGAGUGACCCGACCUUUGGAUGAAUGUCCAUUGCGAUUCGGCGUUGUCUCUGGCCAUCCUUCCUGGCUUUGUCAGGAUCUUUCACUGUAAAAAAAAUUAGGGUGUUUCAAGCAAAAGUUUCUUUGGAAUAUAUUAGUAUGGGAUGAUAAGAUAGGCUCUUGAUGCUAUUUUGUUGGUUUGCACAUCAAGAGAAUGAUUAACAGGGACAGUUGGGGGUAUUCGUAUUUACAUGUCAGAGGUGAAAUUCUUGGAUUUUGGAAAGACGAACUACUGCGAAAGCAUUUACCAAGGAUGUUUUCAUUA